Nicotiana tabacum (common tobacco) is the source of this 682-nucleotide non-coding RNA. Lineage: Eukaryota; Viridiplantae; Streptophyta; Magnoliopsida; Solanales; Solanaceae. The record is from RefSeq and is a predicted model, not a curated record.
AUCAGAUUCGGUUCUUCAAUCCUCACCACGAUUUCAACUCCCACGAUCCCCACCACGAUUCCAUCAUGAUUCCCACGAUCUCACAUUACAAUUUCAACUCCUCACCCACAAACUCUUCUGCGCUCCAUUGUCAGUAACAUGCUUUUACAGUUUUGUCCAAUCAGUUUUCUAUUUUUACAAUAUAUAAGUCUAUUCUUUCUUCCUCGUGUGCAUAUCAAACAAUAAUUCGGGACUACAAAAGGCAAUUACUCUAUUUAAAUUGUACAGUUACGAAAGAUGGACUAUCAAACAUCAUUUCACUUUUCAUUACUUGGUUAAAGGUAAGUAUAUGUCUAAUUUCAGAAAGGGAGAGUUUGUGCACAUACUUUGUCAUCUAAGCAUUGGGUUCUCUAGAGACUGUACUAAACAUGGAACUAGCAGAACGCAAUCUCAGCUUGGAUAGAGGAGCGGCUGUUCAGUUUCUGCUAGCAUACCUGUAAGUUGAACAUGCUGUAUGAUUGUAGUUCUGAAGUUCUUCAAAUGAUCGUGGAUGAUGUUAAAGACUGACGAAGAAGAAGAUAGCAAGUAACUCGAAUUGAACUCUAUCUGCAACCGAUGAUGUAGAGAGAAAUAGGUGUUGGGAAUAAACCCCGUAAAAAUAGUAUUCACGGUAUUAGUGAUAAACGCAGAACACUAAGUUAUG